UCCGGAGAGGAGGGGCCUCUGGAGAGGUUCAGGCCGCCGAAGGAGAGGUACUAAGACAGUUCUGGAGGGUCAGCCAGCCCAUCAGCUCACCUCUAGCGCCUGGCCCAGCUCCAGAUCGAAGGUGACCACGCACACACACUCCAGCCAGGCAGAGAAGCGCGCCCAGGGCAUCUCCGCGGUCCGCGCCGCGCGGCCGGAGGACGAGGAUCUUGUCGCGCCUAGUCCUCCGCCAGCUUGCCGGGGCCCGGGACCCACCGGCACCUCCAUGGUAGCAGCUCCAGCGGUACCCGGGCACGUUGCGGAGAAACGCAGGGGUUCACCUGGGCCGCCUCGGAGCAGUCGAGCUGCCGCCGUAGGCCAGAAGGGCCCCGGAGCAGCCGCGCGCCCCCUGGCGCUAGAGGAGCGUCCGCCCUAGAGUGUCGCCUAACGUACCAGCGAGAAAGGCCCCAGCCGGUUAGAAGGGUCUAGAGAUGGAGGCGCUUCCCGAUAAUGGAGAUUGCGUGACCCGGGUCGGCCAGUAGGUGGCUAGUGUGGCCCUGCAUCUGGCAGAAGAGAAAGGGCGGUUCCUGAUGUCAUCUCUGCCUGGCGUAUGGAUUGAGGGACUCUGGGCGUAUAGUGGUGUCUACCAGGGGUGUCUGGGCAACAUAGAAUUAUGUUGGGCACCACCCCCCCCCCAGGGGUAUCCAACCCGGCCGAGGGUUGUGAGCCUAAUGUUUAUUUGUGUGUCAUCGCUUGUCGCGGACAGCUUUUGUGCUGGACAAUCGCCCAAGGUAGUUAAAGACAAACCUCAAAAUGCUUUAAAAGUGUGAAAACCACGGGUGGUUUGUGGUGGUGCACGCCUUUAGUUCCAGCACUCUGGAGGCAAAGGCAGGCGAAUCUCUGAAGUCUAAGCAAGCCUGGUCUACAGAGCAAGUGUCCAAGACAGUUCGGGCGACACACAGAAACCCUGUCACGGGAAAAUGAAGACAAACAAAACAAACAAAGCGUGAAAAAUAAUGUUUGGGGCUAAGAGAUGGCUCAGCGAGUAAAAACACGGGCUGCACUUCCGUGCAGAAUGGGGGCUCUGUUUCCAGCACCCACAAAUGUAACUGUACUUCCAGGAGAUUAGACGCCCUCUUCCAACCUCCGAGAGCGCCAGGCACGCGUGUCUGUACUACAUUGGGCACCUUCACCCAUCCGCCUUUAAUGAAGGCCAUUCUGCCUGAGUUGGCGGGUCCACCCAGACCUAGUCCCACUCCAGGCUAGUGUGCCUACUUUGGCUAGCAAAGAGGGGCAGCCUGGUCAACGAAUGCUGCUGCCUUUGGGAUUAAGGUAGUUGCAGAGCCUAGUUCUAAGGAUAAGGAUUAUAGAAGAGUGAAUUUAGAAUGAAGAGGUAAUGAGGCAGGCUAGAAAGACAGGAACAUUUGGGGGAACCUAAGAAGGGGGAAGGAGAGCCUUCGCCUACCUGCCCCAAGCAUAAAUAACAAUUAAGGCCCUUCUCCCUUCCCUGCUAUAAACUUGCAAUUUUCCAUUAGAAUCCCUGGCUUACAGGGAAAAGGGGCAUACACCAGAUCUCUUGGGCAACCCUAGUAGUUUUGUUUUUACUUUAUUAAAGAUUGCCAUCUAAGGCAUUCCAAAGAGCUACCUCACCCAUCCUUCUCAGCAAAACGGGGAGGAGGUGUUAGUAAUCUUUUGAGAUACAACCUGAGAGCCGUCAAGAUGGGAGAGAUGACCAAUGCUAAACAAUGGUAACUCUCUCAUGGAUCUGCCUUAUUGGGUCCUUGAGAAGCCUACACCUAUGCUCUUGGAUGUGUCUUACUUUCUUCUGAGUGCCCCCAACAAACACCCUGUAUGAGACAGGGUCUCUCUAUGUGGUCCUGGCUGGUGAGGAACUUGAUAUGUAGACCAGGCUCACUUUGAACUCCUGAAACUCUGCCUGUCUCUGCUGAGACUAGAGGUAGCCUUCAUCAGCCAUACAAAGUGUGCUUGCUUCUUGCGAGCUCGCUCUCUCUCUCUCUGUUUUUGUGAGGCAGGGUUUCUCUGUGUAGCCCUGGCUGUUUUGGAAUUCACUCUGUAGACCAGGACACAUUGACUCUCUUAACCAUAGUGUUUAAACCUGUAUUAAAAUGUUUUCAUUAAGCCCCAACUUUCAUUCUGUCAGAAGGCAGAUCACAGUGCUGACAGAAGUAAUGAGGGUGAGAAGUACUUAGCCCGAGUAUGUCAUUGUUCUUAGAGCCAUCUCUUUCUUAUUGUCCUGGAAGUGCUGUGAUAAUACUAAACUAUAAACAAAGAUAUUUCCAUUAAAAAAACAAACAAACAAACCAAA
RNAcentral lists this long non-coding RNA (2305 nucleotides) under Mus musculus (house mouse). Its description in RNAcentral is "RIKEN cDNA 5730424H11 gene". Lineage: Eukaryota; Metazoa; Chordata; Mammalia; Rodentia; Muridae. The record is from RNAcentral.